GCAAGUCGAACGAGCAGCCGGAUUCUUCGUAAACCGGUGGGCUAGUGGCCGACGGGUGAGUAACACGUUGGUGACCUUCCCCGAAGCGGGGGACAACCACUGGAAACGGUGGCUAAUACCGCGUGUGCUUAAUCAUUCGUUUGGUUAAGUAAAACUCAGGUGCUUCGGGAGGGGCCUGCGGUCGAUUAGUUAGUUGGUGAGGUAAUGGCUCACCAAGACGAUGAUCGAUAGGGGGCGUGAGAGCGUGACC
This 250-nucleotide ribosomal RNA is filed under the name uncultured bacterium. Its description in RNAcentral is "partial 16S ribosomal RNA". It matches the Rfam family "Bacterial small subunit ribosomal RNA", at positions 57 to 305 of the family's 1533-position model. The record is from RNAcentral.